RNAcentral lists this ribosomal RNA (498 nucleotides) under uncultured bacterium. RNAcentral describes it as "partial 16S ribosomal RNA". It matches the Rfam family "Bacterial small subunit ribosomal RNA", at positions 28 to 507 of the family's 1533-position model. The record is from RNAcentral.
GACGAACGCUGGCGGCAUGCCUAACACAUGCAAGUCGAACGGAGAUUAUUUCGGUACUCUUAGUGGCGAACGGGUGAGUAACGCGUGGGCAACCUGCCCUCUAGAUGGGGACAACAUCCCGAAAGGGGUGCUAAUACCGAAUGUGACAGCAAUCUCGCAUGAGGAUGCUGUGAAAGAUGGCCUCUAUUUAUAAGCUAUCGCUAGAGGAUGGGCCUGCGUCUGAUUAGCUAGUUGGUGGGGUAACGGCCUACCAAGGCGAUGAUCAGUAGCCGGUCUGAGAGGAUGAACGGCCACAUUGGGACUGAGACACGGCCCAGACUCCUACGGGUGGCAGCAGUGGGGAAUCUUCCGCAAUGGGCGAAAGCCUGACGGAGCAAUGCCGCGUGAGUGAUGAAGGAAUUCGUUCCGUAAAGCUCUUUUGUUUAUGACGAAUGUGCAGAUUGUGAACAAUGAUCUGUAAUGACGGUAGUAAACGAAUAAGCCACGGCUAACUACGUG